GGGAUACUACCACACAAAUAUCCACUUGUCCUCUUGGGACUCAGUUUUCCUUAUUGUGAUUCACUAUAACUUAACUGCUGUAUUCAAACCUACCUUGAGUGAAUUUAAAAAGAUGGGCUGGUUAAUAUCAAUAGAUUUGAGUGUGUCAUACUUUUUACUUUUGAUACUUAAGUACUGUUUUACUUUAGUAGUGUUUUCCUAGAUUACUUAUAUUUUUACUUGAAUAACAUUUUAGUGGUAUCUAUACUUUUACCUAAGUAGGAAAACUGAGUAGAUUUUCCACCACUGACAUCUUCUAAGCAUCUGCUGCAGCUCAGGGUGUUUGUUUCCACCCUGUGAUGGAGACGGAUGGCAGGUGAGUCAGAGGUGGAGGCCAGUGGAGCUGUGGAUAGCAGCAGGGUGACGGACCGCUGAGAAACAGGCAUGCCACGUGUUAAGUGGCUGGCAUCCCUAACACUCUACUGCUGCCAUGCAGGUGACCUGCAGCCCUCGCUUAGUGGAUGGACAAAAACAAGGACAACAUUCAUUGUCUUGACACCUGCUGCUCUGUGCUGCAGGUAUAAGGUGACAGCUGUGGUGAGGUGCAACAUUUGUAGAAAGAAGUGUAGAUUCAAAAAAACAAGCUGAAUUUAGCUCCUUUACCAAAACAUCAACUCAACCUACAAUAUUCCCUAGUUUUGUAGAUCUAAUCUUACGAUCUUUAAGUUGCGACCGUAAAACCAAAACAAUUAGCUAGAAAACACAAACUGAGAGAAUGUGCCACACCUUUCACACUAGUAAUUUGAUCCAUUGUUAAUAUAAAAAUACUGAUUUUUAUUCAAUGCAGUUUAAUUCUAAAUACUUUAUUCAUCCUUUAUGGGGCAAAAAAUAAAUUUAAAUUUACACACCUAUAAAAGUAAAUAUAAGAGAAAUAUGUUUGAAAGACACACACGAAGAUUAACAGCAUGUGUGCGAGUCCAUAGAAGGCCAACAAUAUCCAGCAAUCAUUUAUCGUCAUGUUUUUAAAAAUUUCCACUUCUUUCCUGCUACCAGGCACACGUCCAGCACAAUGGCGCCUAUGUCAAAAAGUUUAAAAGAUCAAAUUUAUCAGUCUGUACACAAGGUGAAAUGACAGUUUCUUGUACCGGGGCACCCGAAAUCCUCCCAUGUGUUUAGUAGGUAUUGAGCAGGUAAGAUUGAUAUAUUAUGUUUAUUGUGCAUACACAGGCUCUGACUGAGAUGCAUGGCAGACAGAGGUAAUGUGGGGGUAAGUCACAUCAACACGUAGAAUAAAUAAAAAAAUAUAAAUGCAAAGUAGGAUUUGGCAAGAAAUAUUGACUUUUCAAGGAUGGACAAUUAUUAAAACUUUUUUUUGUUUUCUUUUCUCUCUAUAUGUAAAUCAAACACAUACUGAGGUGGACUGAGGUAAGAAGUGAAGCAUUGACAUGUCUAACAACACUUCCUGUCUUCUCUCUCUCGGCAUCCAGCCGCUUAUCCUUUGUCAGCACAUGCUUCACUAUCUGAGGAGGACUGUAUUUCUAUUCUCACGAGCCAGAGAGAGGGAGAGAGAGAGAGAGAGAGAGACAGACAGACAGGCAGAGCAGAAGGGAGAGGGAGGGAGAGAGGGGAGAUGACCUUGGUUUCUCUGUGGAGCCGUCCCGCUGCCCACGUGCACUGAGGAGAUAAGCAGAGUGCUGAGAAGCCAUCGUCAAACCCUGACACCACACAGCACUACAGCUGGGCACAGUAUUCACACUGCACUGAGAUAGACUGUGUGUACAGGAACACUGUGGGACUAAGCGAUGCCUCCACUGAACAUCUGUCCACCCCCACACAGCUCUCUCUUAUCUGCCCGGUGAACACUGACUCAACUUUAAUCACAGUUGCAUGGUAGUGAAUAAUGGAGCAUAAAAACAAGUAGUGUCUUCCUGGGCACUGUCUGUUCAUCCAACUGACAUGACCCUUGUUGAAAUAUACAGGUAAAUAAACAGUUUUGAGGGCACCAUGUAAAGCUAACAGUGGAUAUUUUUCAUACCAACAGGGAUAGCUAGCUCCACAAAGCGUGAGUGUGGGACUUACAUAUAAAUGAAUGUCUGUUACAUUCAUGCCCUUCCCAAACGAGUUCACACAAUGCCUAAGCCUCCACCAGGUAAAGCUCUCUGUAUUUCGCAGUAUACCAGAGUGAAAGGGGAGGAACCCAGAGCCAUGUAGAGAGUGCCACAAUCCACCAUUGCUCAAAAAAAAAAAAAUCUUUUUAACUGAGAUUUUUUAUUUAUGUUUAUAUUGAUUGUAGUUUGCGUUAAUAUGCUUUGUAAUGUUUAACUGUAUGCAGUCAUGGCAAUAAAGCAAGUUAAAUUGAAUUUGAACUGAAUUUCUAUCCACAUGACUAUGGACGGAGCGAUGCAAACGUAGCGACGGAAUAGGCUACAGCAAGUAGGACUAUGGUAUGCAUGAGAGUGUCUGUUACGACCCUAAGGGUCAUGCGUUUGGUUUGGGAUGUGUUCCUUCUCUCUCUCUCUCUCUCUCUCUCUCUCUCUCUCUCUCUCAGGUAGUGGCCCUUCCCCCCAUGCCUCGGCUGCAUGAGUGAGUGGCAGCAGGUGUGCCUGAUCACCACUCAGUGCCUGGAGGAUAAGAAGGCUUGGGUUUUUUCACAGGACUCAGUCUGUUUCCCUUGCUACCUGUUAUGACCACACUGCAGACCCAUCAGUCCAGCGGACAGGGGCAGCCCAUUCAACCAGUGGGUUGAACACUGCCUUAGACUUCUUGUCCAAGAAAAGUUUCUGAUGCUCCAGAUAAAAAAAGGAACUCAGCGUUCAGAGGAAGCGGUACAAAGAAAGGUCAUCGGCGAGGACAAACAUGGAUAACCAUUGGCAUAGCUUUUCCUAUUGGACAGGGUUGGAAGGAGCGACUAAGACACAAAGUCGUGUUACGGCUCUUGGACAGGUUGCUAUUUGUAAAAUAUUCAAUAUAAAUGAUUAAUUCUCCCUAAAUAAUGGAUUAUUGUCUUGGAAAUGUGGAAAUGUUCUGUAUUUUGUAACUAUUUCUGAACACGAGCCUGGGGUGAGCUCACCUGUAGGCAUUCAUCAUGAGCAUGUAUCAACAGUGUUUGUGAAUUACUCUGAUUGCCAGAAGGGGGGACAAAAAUUCCACUCUGCAGGUUUAAAGCUCCAGCCUAAAAGAAAAGAGCAGACACGCUCUUACGGUGUCUUUCACUCAUGUGUCUGUUAAAGCAUUGGCUUCCACUCAUUACAGUGCAAGAUGGACUGAUUUAUGAAAUCAUGGUCAGCCUCACCCUAAGGUCCUGCAGAAGCAGAUUGCCAACAAGUCCAGAACGAUCUAGUGUGACUGAACAGGAGAUCAAUAAGAAUCUGGCCUUGAGGCUCUUGAUAUAUGAUAACCAAUAUGUGCUCACUACAAGGUGGGGAGCAGAGUACAGUUCAGAGGCAAACUGUAGCGUUGGAUUAUGUCACUAGCGUGUAGCAGGAAAGCAGUGGAAUUUGUUAAAAACAUGAUAAUGCAAGCAAAGACUGUAUGAUUGAUUUCUAAGUUAACUGCAAAAGAAAGUCGUUUAGAGAAAAAGAUGGUUGUGUAGAUAAUCAGGGCCUGAUGACACACAACGCCAUAAUCAACAUCUCAGACCGCAGACAACCACUUACUUCUUGCACACUGUAGGGAUAAGCAGACCUGGAAGCAUAUACCGAUUACUACUACAGCCAAUCUAAAAUUGAUACUCCCCAGCAAGAAUCAUCCAACCCGAAAGAAAACAGAAAAAGACAUCAUCCACAGACACAAGUGAUCUUCAGACCACAGAAACUGAGGUCACUAUCUUACAAUCCCUCAAUAAAAAACUUGAUUUUUUGUUUAAACUUCACAAUGAAAAACGGCUUCACUCAGGCCCGGUGUUCUCCAGUAUAAAAGCGCGUCUCAUGUCCUGCACUGUGGGCUAGAGACCCUGUUCCCAAUGCUCCAUGCACCUCCUUGUUUUUGUUUCUUUCACUAUACAACACUCCACUCACUAUUCCUUCAAGCAUGCAUACCUGCUGACAUGACUGACCUACUGAUUAUCACACUUCAUAGGAUUAUUUGAAUAUUAAGUUGUUUCUGUUUGCUUGAAAAAUAAAAGUAAUGGUACCCUUACUGCAGUUUUGGGUCAUACUGUUCUUUUUGUCGCGGUUUUGAGCCAGCCGUGACAAAAUGGGGGUUUGUCCAAUUUGGAUUCCCGCUGCCGUUGUUGGUUUAUAUUUAAUUGAUUCUCUUUGUGCUUGAGCUGUCCAGGUGCAGUUGAUUGUGGGGGUUUCCCUGGCAGUCUGAGUGGCCUGACCAAUCUGUGACGGGGGUUGGUACAUAUCUCAUCUGGGGGAUGGAUUUUUGUGGAAUUCCCUAGUUAAUUUGCAUAUUCUGGUUUCCGCCUCGUUUGACAUAGCCAAAUUGAGGUCGAGGAAGACACCUGGGAGAGCGGAGUGUCCUUGGUGGAACUGUGAAGUGGAAAACCUGUUUGUCCAAGGGAAGGUAAGUGUUGACAUGCUGGUGUGUAAUCGUGUUGGCACUAAAGGGAUUUCCCCGGUUAGGUAUAAGAGCGUUACUCCUUUGUGUUACGCUGGUUUGUUAUUUCUGUAGUGCUGUGGUGAAUGUGGUUGGAGACUUAGGUCUCGAGAGCAUGUUCUUGGCGGUGAGGAAGUUGCCAAUGGCUGGUCACUCUCACGCUAGCGGUCUAUAGUGUGUAAAUACCCACCGCAACUAACCAAUGAAGACUAGGGGUGAGUUACUUUAGUGUGUGGUUAGGCAGAUAGAAGGGACGCUCCUUUUUGCCUUUAUUAGUAACCAGCGUGUUGAUUACUUCAUGUUCUUUUGGUCCAGGUUUUUGAGAUUCCAUCAGAGGGGUUUCUAGAUGGCUGCACGAAAGAGCAGUUGUUGAGAAUAGCUGACCAUUAUAAGAUUGAGCUGCGAUGGACUGGCGACCUGUCCAGGGUGCCUUUCGUCCGAUGUCAGCUGGGAUUGGCUCCAGCCCCCCCGCAACCCUGUACGCAGGAUAAGCGGUUGACGAUGGAUGGAUGGAUGGAUGGAUGGAUAAGAUUGAGAUCAGUGACAAAAGGCUCGAGGACACUGUUAGGUCUGUGUUGAAGGCUAACUUGUAUGACAUGGAGGUGUUGCCAGCUGAUAAAAGUACUGUGAGAGGGUAGGUUAAGCAUGGAAGCUAGUCAGUAGCUAGGUGGAGUUAGUCCUACUUUAGGUGCACGUUCUUCACAGUAGUUUGCGGCUACUUCCGAAAUUUAAUGACAGGGACCCCGAGACAUUAUUUUCUCUGUUUGAGAGAUUAGCUGACGCUAGGGACUGGCCUGAUGGGGAUCGCACACUUGUUGCAAUGUGUUUUGACCGGUAGGGCUAAGGAAGCAAUUUCAGCUUUAUCUGUGGCAGAUGGCUUGAGUUAUGCAUCGGUGAAAACUGCUGUUCUGACCGUAUUUCCACAUAUUUAACAGAACAGCAGGUAGUAACAGUGGGUGAGGCAGCUGCCUUGGCAGAGCAGUAUGUUUUGUCUCAUUGUAGUGAUGAGACACACAGACACACACGUACACACAACUCAAAGCAUGUACCUUGUCGAUAAUAUCCAUAGCAAGCGAUUUCAAAAACAACCCCCGAUAAUUCCUAUUAAUGAAACAGGUUUUAUCAAAAGAAGACAUGCAUACAAUAACACACAGGCUGUUCAACAUCAUUCUGAUAGGCUAACUGAGAACAAUGAGGAAACAAUAAUAGCUUCAUUGGAUGCAGAAAAAGCUUUCGAUUGAAGGAAAGGAAAGCAAUUUAUCAACUUCUGCACAGGGGGACAAGACAAGGAUGCCUACUCUCUCCUUCCCUCUUCACCGUCUGCAUUGAACCACUUGCUGCAACCGUCCACCAGAACAAUCGUAUUGAAGGUGUGCAAUCCUCAACGGUAAGACAUAAAAUAAGAAUAUACGCAGAUGGUAUCCUACUCUAUUUACAAAACCCACUACAAGAAACCAUUAACCUAUUCAGUAGAUUAUCUAAAAUUUCAAACUACUCUAACAACAAGUCAGAAUUAUCACUGUUGCAUCUCUUUAAAAAAGAGCUGGAAUCUAGCAACCCUACCAACACCCAUCCCUCUUUCCACAGACACCAAAAGAUAGCCAGGUGUAAUUAUUUCCCCCCAGCUAUCAGAGCUUGUGCACUUAAAUUUUAAACCACUGAUCAAAAUGAUAGAAGAUGACACAGACAGAUGGAUGAAUCUACCAGUGUCAUUAAUCACCAAGAUGACAGUACUACCCAAAAGAACUACUUUUAACUACUUUUCACAUGGUUUACAGAUUCUGCAGCCAUGCACACGACUGAUUAUCAGUUAAAGAUAUACUGUACAAAUGCCUUCCUCUGUAUAGUCUAAGUUAACCAAAAAAGAUUUUAAAAAAACCCAAAGAUAAUAAAGAAUAAAAAAAGAAACAAAAUUUAUAAUGAAUGAGCAAUAAAUAAAAAGAGGUAUGGACACUGUGGUGGGUGAAACAAGCACUAUUAGGCUCCAGAAAUGAAAUAACUAACACUUUAAUGGCAUGGAGUAAAACAUGACCAAAGCAGAAAACACAAUAUGGAGGCAAUGGUUACCAGUUUAAUGAUGAACAACGGUAAAAUUAAACAGUUAAUGUACCAAACAUUAAAAUUGUUUGAUUACAGUGCUUUGAAAAACUCACAGUAACAACACAUAUUGCAUGCAACGUAGGUUUGUUGUUGGUCAAUGAACAUGGCGGAGAGGAGUAACAAUGCUCCAGAGCUUCAGCCUAGUCCUCAGAGAACUCAGUCUGAAGUGUGGUCGUGUUUUGGUUUUUAUAACAUAACAUUAUAUAUUUAUAACAUUAUAGUCCCCACUAUUGGUACUAUCACCAUUUACCCUUGUUCUUCUGCGACUACUACUACUGCUUCUAUUAUCAAUACUAUUAUCAAUUAUAUGACAUAUCAAUCUAAAUGAGUACUUAAUAGAACAACUGACUGAUCAGUUUAUCAAUCAAUUUAUUUUAUUAUUUGUUACUGCUGGGAGACUUCCAAUUAUGCACUGAGCUCCUCUUGCCUCCUCUACCUCUCCAUCUGUAUGCAUUCUUAUGCCAUUAAUGCAUGUUACUAACUUCCCUCCUCCCAUAGUUUUGUGCUUUCCUUGUCCCGUUUUUUUCUCCUUCUGUUGCUUUCAGGUGUUUCUGCCUCCAGAGCUGUGGAGUCUGGAUCUGUGGUUUUAGGCUUCCUGCUGCCCCCAUGUUCCUGCUUGACACCCGCUGCUACAAUUACUAUUAUGAGCAUUAACACUGCUAUCAUUAUUAGUACUAUUAUUCUUUUACAUUGAAAUCUGUACCACAA
Micropterus salmoides (largemouth bass) is the source of this 7329-nucleotide long non-coding RNA. RefSeq lists it as uncharacterized. NCBI's taxonomy places the organism in Eukaryota, Metazoa, Chordata, Actinopteri, Centrarchiformes, Centrarchidae. The record is from RefSeq and is a predicted model, not a curated record. The transcript has 2 exons.